UGUGACCUCAAAUCAGGUAGGACUACCCGCUGAACUUAAGCAUAUCAAUAAGCGGAGGAAAAGAAACUAACAAGGAUUCCCCUAGUAACUGCGAGUGAAGCGGGAAAAGCUCAAAUUUAAAAUCUGGCAGUCUUUUGGCUGUCCGAGUUGUAAUCUAGAGAAGUGUUAUCCGCGCUGGACCGUGUACAA
This 189-nucleotide ribosomal RNA is filed under the name Cortinarius uraceisporus. RNAcentral describes it as "partial 28S ribosomal RNA". It matches the Rfam family "Eukaryotic large subunit ribosomal RNA", at positions 1 to 184 of the family's 3401-position model. Lineage: Eukaryota; Fungi; Basidiomycota; Agaricomycetes; Agaricales; Cortinariaceae. The record is from RNAcentral.